Molecule: unclassified non-coding RNA, 206 nt
Filed under: uncultured Clitocybe
Lineage: Eukaryota; Fungi; Basidiomycota; Agaricomycetes; Agaricales; Tricholomataceae
Description: sequence contains ITS2
Source: RNAcentral
AAUUCUCAAUAGACCUGGUUAGUCUUUGACUGAUCUAGGUCGAUUGGAUGUGAGGGUUGCCGGUCUAUCGGAUCGGACUCCCUUUAAAUACAUUAGUGGUUACCGAUCCUCUUCCACUAGGUGUGAUAAUCUAUCUACGCCUUAUCGGAACGAUCUGCUAGUUAUCCGCUUUCUAACCGUCUCGCUCUAGAGACAACUACUUGACA